UCCAGACUCCUACGGGAGGCAGCAGUGGGGAAUAUUGCACAAUGGGGGAAACCCUGAUGCAGCGACGCCGCGUGAAGGAAGAAGUAUUUCGGUAUGUAAACUUCUAUCAGCAGGGAAGAAAAUGACGGUACCUGACUAAGAAGCCCCGGCUAACUACGUGCCAGCAGCCGCGGUAAUACGUAGGGGGCAAGCGUUAUCCGGAUUUACUGGGUGUAAAGGGAGCGUAGGCGGUUUAGCAAGUCAGAAGUGAAAGCCCGGGGCUCAACUCCGGGACUGCUUUUGAAACUGUUGAACUAGAUUGCAGGAGAGGUAAGUGGAAUUCCUAGUGUAGCGGUGAAAUGCGUAGAUAUUAGGAGGAACACCAGUGGCGAAGGCGGCUUACUGGGCCGACACUGACGCUGAGGCGCGAAAGCUAGGGGAGCGAACAGGAUUAGAUACCCGAGUAC
Molecule: ribosomal RNA, 446 nt
Filed under: uncultured bacterium
Lineage: Bacteria
Description: partial 16S ribosomal RNA
Rfam family: Bacterial small subunit ribosomal RNA
Source: RNAcentral